AACAUCGCGCACCUGCGGGAACCUGCGGAAGGAUCAUUACAGAGUUGCAAAACUCCCUAAACCAUUGUGAACGUUACCUAAACCGUUGCUUCGGCGGGCGGCCCGGGUCCUUCCCGGCGCCCAUCGGCCCUCGCGGGCGCCCGCCGGAGGUAAACCAAACUAUUGCAUUGUAUGGCCUCUCUGAGUCUUCUGUACUGAAUAAGCCAAAACUUUCAGCAACGGAUCUCAGAUCGGAAGAGC
Molecule: unclassified non-coding RNA, 240 nt
Filed under: soil metagenome
Description: partial contains 5.8S ribosomal RNA, internal transcribed spacer 2, and large subunit ribosomal RNA
Source: RNAcentral